Molecule: non-coding RNA, 2941 nt
Organism: Camellia sinensis
Lineage: Eukaryota; Viridiplantae; Streptophyta; Magnoliopsida; Ericales; Theaceae
Source: RefSeq, a predicted model, not a curated record
AAAAAAAAGGGUUAGAGGGUGAUAAGCACAUUGAAAACUCUCUUCUCACCAGAAAAUUGAAUGUGGGACUUAAUUAAGUGAGUCCAAUUCUUUUAUAAUUAAUUUAUGUUGUAAGUUAUAAAAUAAGAUUUUGUUUAGUCAAUAAAUUGUGGACAUGGACAAGCAUAAGAUAUCAAACAAUGAAGGAAAUACGUAUAAAUUUACUUGAUAUAUUGUCUAAGUUGUGAAUCAAUUAACAAUGUAUUUUAUAAAAGACAAUUAAACUUUAGAAGAUUUUAUAUUUUAAUUUAUUAGGUUAGUCAAGCAAAAGCACACAUAUAAGCCUCCAAUCUUGACUUUUGGAGGCUUCAAUCUAGGAGCCUGUAAAUUACAAAGAAGUUAGAAAACACUCUGUUCUCCAUCAUUUUCUGUUCCCUCCUUCAUUAUCACGGCAAUAUUAGUCUUCCAAACUUUAAAAAAACAACAACAACAACAACAAAAAAGAGUUGCUACUCAAAAAAUCGCAAUACACUGGUUGCGGUAAGAUUUUAGAAUUGUGAAGAGAAAAAAAAUUACAAAAAGAGAGAUAUCCUCUCGGAGGAACUGAUGCUUGCAUCUUUGAUGCACAGCUAGUAGUACAUUUGAGAAGUUUUAAUUGAUUAGUUGCAAAGAGCCCCAAGUUAUGGAACAAAAGAAAUAUCCGAGACCUACAUUGAGAAGCUAUUUUUAUUUCUAUUUUAUCUUCUUAUUUCUCUUGACAUAUACCUCCACAGAUAAAAAAUGGGAUUUCUUUGUUUCUUAUUUUCUCAAUUUCUAUUUGUUGGUGUUCGGCCAUUUUAAUAUAUUUUGUUUAUUUAUUUAUUUAUUUAUUUUUUUGGUAACCUUUUGUCUUAUUCAUUAAUCUUAUUUUUUUUAGUUUGUUUUGUUCAUGAAUGGAGAUUAAUUGGAAGGUCAUGAGCUUGGUGGUGAGUUAUAUUUGGAGGUUUUGGGACUCUCCAUUUUCUUUAGUUUAAUAUUCAUUAUUUUUUUGGUAUAAUUUGUAAGGUCUUAGUAGCCUAUAAAUUAUUCAUCUCAUCUACUCUUUUCUAGACCAACUAUUGUUUACACUUGAGAGAUUACUAGCCAAAGAAAUGUAUUUUUUUUUUGGUGGAGUUUUGGGUUCACCAUCUUAUGUAGAGUUGGCCUGAACCGUACGACAAGUGGUCAAGCUAUCACUACAGGAAAUACGGGUUUUGGUGGCGUUUUUUUAAUGACGCUUUUUGAAAUGUCACUUUUUUAACAUGUAUCGACGUUUUAAAAACGUCGCAUAUUUCUUUAAUUGAAACGAUACCGUUUUGUAAUAAGAGGCGUUUAAAAGCGCCUCCAAAUGCGUUAGGCCUCACGUGCCUAUUUUGAAUCUGUGAAUAAUGGUCAAAGCCUUUGUAAACCCUUAUCAUUCUCACGCCUUCAAAUCUCACCUCUCUCAACCCUCCCUAAGCCCUUAUCAUUCUCACAGAUUCAUCUGUAUCUGUGAGAUUCAGAGCGAUUUCGAUUUCGAUUUCGAAGCUCCACCCCCACCAUCAGCGAGGUAGCGAUCACCAUCGUCAACUAAGAGAUUCAUCUUUGAGAUUCAGAGAUUCAGAUCAGUCUCAGUGAUUUCAUCUCAGAGCGAUUUUGAUUUUGAAGUUCUCUCUCUCGAUUUCGAAGCUCCACCGCCACCACCAUCUGCACCAACGAGGAAGAAUUGACCUUGGGAUGCACAGUUUGGUUGAUAUCAUAGGCAGUCGUGCAUUUGGAUUGGCAAUUCUUAGUGUUCAUGAAUACAUUGACGAUUUCAUAGUUUCUGGGCAAAAUGGUAUGUAUAUUUCUACUACUUCAAGAUUACAAGAAGAUACUUCAGUCCUAGGAUGACUUGCAGUGUUUUUUUGGCUGGUAAGGUAAGGAUUAUCCUAGAAAGUUUUGUGAGAAUUAAAAUGUUGUGAGCAGCCCUUGCAGAAAACAAAGAGGUAGUGGAGUUAGUCUCACCAUUUUCGAGUCAUGAUACAGAAGAAUAUACAACAUUAGUGAUGUUUUGUGGAUUUACUAAAUUGGGAAGAUGAUUAUGGAAGCUUGUGGAUGCAAUCAAAAGUACAUGUUAAUUGUUCUCACAAGUUAUUGUGGACGUCCUAGGUAACUGAUUCAGAUGUUUUCUCUUAAGUUAUAAGUUAUUUCAAUAUUAAUCGCGUACACCUUAUCAACAUGUUCUUUAGCGAAGUCAAUAUAACAAUAUAAACAACAGUGAUUACAAAAUAAAUAAUUUUUGGAAUGCUUGGAGAAUAAACAGCAGUGAUUACAGGCAACAAUACCAUGGUUUCAUCUGGUGGAAGCUUUGAGAUGGGUUUUUUCAGCCUUGACAAUUCCCAAAAUACAUACUUUUGGGUACCUUGCUCCCGAGUAUUCAUGUAUGGCAAAGUCAGCGACACAGUCGAUGUGUACUCUUUUGGAGUGGUUUUUCUUGAAUUGUUAUCGGGGAGGAAAGCGAUCACUUUUGACGCUGACAAGGGCCAAGAAAGCUUGGUCAUAUGGGUAAGGGUCUUUUUCUUUGAUAUGAAAAUUUCACAGUUUCACUGCCUGCAACUUAUAAGUUAUGUUUAUGUGCAUAUAACUUAGAAGAUUUAUAUUUAGGCAAAACUAAAACUAGAGACAGGAAAUCUAAGAAGCAUACUCGAUCUAAAUCUAGAAUGAAACAUCGAUAAGACUCAAAUUCAGAGAAUGGGUCUUGCAGCCAGGCUCUGCCUCACAAGAUCAGCUCGGCUUCGUCCUAAAAUGAGCCAGAAUGCAAGUUGCUUUUGACUUUGUUCUACUGCUGGGACAUUUGCUGCUAUUUUGGGAAUAAUCGGAGCCAAUUUUUUUGUUGAAUUAAUGGGUUCUUUCCAGGGAUUUUUUGUAUUUUUUUUGCUGCUCUAUUCUGGAACUUAUAUUCUACAGGAGAGAGAGAGAGAGA